GUAUAGGGUGUGACGCCUGCCCGGUGCCGGAAGGUUAAUUGAUGGGGUUAGCUGCUUGCAGCGAAGCUCUUGAUCGAAGCCCCGGUGAACGGCGGCCGUAACUAUAACGGUCCUAAGGUAGCGAAAUUCCUUGUCGGGUAAGUUCCGACCUGCACGAAUGGCGUAACGAUGGCCACACUGUCUCCACCCGGGACUCAGCGAAAUUGAACUCGCUGUGAAGAUGCAGCGUACCCACGGCUAGACGGAAAGACCCCGUGCACCUUUACUACAGCUUCACACUGGACUUUGAAUAUGUUUGUGUAGGAUAGGUGGGAGGCUUUGAAGCCAGAACGCUAGUUUUGGUGGAGCCAAUCUUGAAAUACCACCCUAAUAUGUUUGAGGCCCUAACCGAGGUCCGUUAUCCGGAUCCGGAACCGUGUGUGGUGGGUAGUUUGACUGGGGCGGUCUCCUCCCAAAGAGUAACGGAGGAGCGCGAAGGUGUUCUAAGCGCGGUCGGAAAUCGCGCGGUUAGUGCAAAGGCAUAAGAACGCUUGACUGCGAGACAGACACGUCGAGCAGGAACGAAAGUUGGUCUUAGUGAUCCGGUGGUUCUGUAUGGAAGGGCCAUCGCUCAACGGAUAAAAGGUACGCCGGGGAUAACAGGCUGAUACCCCCCAAGAGUUCACAUCGACGGGGGUGUUUGGCACCUCGAUGUCGGCUCAUCUCAUCCUGGGGCUGUAGCCGGUCCCAAGGGUAUGGCUGUUCGCCAUUUAAAGAGGUACGCGAGCUGGGUUUAGAACGUCGUGAGACAGUUUGGUCCCUAUCUGCCGUGGGCGCCGGAGACUUGAGAGGAGCUGCUCCUAGUACGAGAGGACCGGAGUGGACGUACCUCUGGUGUUCCAGUUGUCACGCCAGUGGCAUUGCUGGGUAGCUAUGUACGGAAGGGAUAACCGCUGAAAGCAUCUAAGCGGGAAGCCCCCCUCAAGAUUAGGUCUCCCUGGACCCUCGUGGUCCCUGAAGGUUCGUUGUAGAGUACAACGUUGAUAGGCGGGGUGUGGAAGCACAGCAAUGUGUGAAGCUAACCCGUACUAAUAAACCGUGAGGCUUGACUAU
RNAcentral lists this ribosomal RNA (1092 nucleotides) under Arenicellales bacterium. RNAcentral describes it as "partial 23S ribosomal RNA". It matches the Rfam family "Bacterial large subunit ribosomal RNA", at positions 1843 to 2925 of the family's 2925-position model. The record is from RNAcentral. Lineage: Bacteria; Pseudomonadati; Pseudomonadota; Gammaproteobacteria; Arenicellales.